AGGGGGUAAGUGUAAUGGCUAUGCACGCGGGAUUCCAAAUCCUUGCAGAGAGGGUUCGAUUCCUUCACUUCCUGCCA
This 77-nucleotide transfer RNA is filed under the name compost metagenome. RNAcentral describes it as "tRNA-Trp". It matches the Rfam family "tRNA". Rfam says of the family: Transfer RNA (tRNA) molecules are approximately 80 nucleotides in length. Their secondary structure includes four short double-helical elements and three loops (D, anti-codon, and T loops). The record is from RNAcentral.